This 460-nucleotide ribosomal RNA is filed under the name uncultured bacterium. RNAcentral describes it as "partial 16S ribosomal RNA". It matches the Rfam family "Bacterial small subunit ribosomal RNA", at positions 338 to 795 of the family's 1533-position model. The record is from RNAcentral.
CCUACGGGAGGCAGCAGUGAGGAAUAUUGGUCAAUGGCCGUAAGGCUGAACCAGCCAAGUCGCGUGAAGGAAGAAGGAUCUAUGGUUUGUAAACUUCUUCUAUCGGGGAAUAAAGGUCUCUACGUGUGGACUUUUGCUUGUACCCUAUGAAUAAGCAUCGGCUAACUCCGUGCCAGCAGCCGCGGUAAUACGGAGGAUGCGAGCGUUAUCCGGAUUUAUGGGGGUUAAAGGGUGCGUAGGCUGUUUGUUAAGUCAGGGGUGAAAGUGGGUGGCUCAACCACAACAUGGCCGUUGAAACUGGAAGGCUUGAGUGUGUGUGAGGUAAGCGGAAUGCGUGGUGUAGCGGUGAAAUGCAUAGAUAUCACGCAGAACUCCGAUUGCGAAGGCAGCUUACUAAGCCAUAACUGACACUGAAGCACGAAAGCGUGGGGAUCAAACAGGAUUAGAUACCCCGGUAGUC